This 433-nucleotide ribosomal RNA is filed under the name uncultured bacterium. Its description in RNAcentral is "partial 16S ribosomal RNA". It matches the Rfam family "Bacterial small subunit ribosomal RNA", at positions 29 to 507 of the family's 1533-position model. The record is from RNAcentral.
AACGAACGCUGGCGGCAUGCCUAACACAUGCAAGUCGAACGAGACCUUCGGGUCUAGUGGCGCACGGGUGCGUAACGCGUGGGAACCUGCCCUUAGGUUCGGAAUAACUCCCCGAAAGGGGUGCUAAUACCGGAUAAUGUCUUCGGACCAAAGAUUUAUCGCCUUUGGAUGGGCCCGCGUUGGAUUAGCUAGUUGGUAGGGUAAAAGCCUACCAAGGCGACGAUCCAUAGCUGGUCUGAGAGGAUGAUCAGCCACACUGGGACUGAGACACGGCCCAGACUCCUACGGGAGGAAGAAGUGGGGAAGAUUGGAAAAGGGGCGAAAGUCUGAUCCAGCAAUGACGCGUGAGUGAUGAAGGCCUUAGGGUUGUAAAGCUCUUUUACCCGGGAUGAUAAGGACAGUACCGGGAGAAUAAGCUAAGGCUAACUCCGUG